CUAACUACGUGCCAGCAGCCGCGGUAAUACGUAGGGGGCUAGCGUUAUCCGGAUUUACUGGGCGUAAAGGGUGCGUAGGCGGUCUUUCAAGUCAGGAGUGAAAGGCUACGGCUCAACCGUAGUAAGCUCUUGCAACUGGGAGACUUGAGUGCAGGAGAGGAGAGUGGAAUUCCUAGUGUAGCGGUGAAAUGCGUAGAUAUUAGGAGGAACACCAGGUGCGAAGGCGGCGCUCUGGACUGUAACUGACGCUGCGGCCGAA
RNAcentral lists this ribosomal RNA (259 nucleotides) under Clostridioides difficile. RNAcentral describes it as "partial 16S ribosomal RNA". It matches the Rfam family "Bacterial small subunit ribosomal RNA", at positions 497 to 757 of the family's 1533-position model. Lineage: Bacteria; Bacillati; Bacillota; Clostridia; Peptostreptococcales; Peptostreptococcaceae. The record is from RNAcentral.